RNAcentral lists this ribosomal RNA (323 nucleotides) under uncultured eukaryote. RNAcentral describes it as "partial 18S ribosomal RNA". It matches the Rfam family "Eukaryotic small subunit ribosomal RNA", at positions 1470 to 1796 of the family's 1831-position model. The record is from RNAcentral.
CCCUUAGAUGUUCUGGGCCGCACGCGUGCUACACUGAGUGGAUCAGCGGGUCAGGUUGCGCGAAAGCGUUUCCUAAUCUUUAAAUCCGCUCGUGAUGGGGAUUGACGGUUGCAAUUUUCUGUCAUGAACGAGGAAUACCUUGUAAGCGCGGGUCAUCAUCCCGCGCUGAAUACGUCCCUGCCCUUUGUACACACCGCCCGUCGCUCCUACCGAUUGAGUGGUCCGGUGAAAUCUUCGGAUUGAGACUUUGAUUUCUUCACGGAAAACGCUGUUUUAAAAAGUUGAUUAAACCUUACCAUUUAGAGGAAGGUGAAGUCGUAACA